GUUCCAGGCAAUCCUUUUCCUAUAUUUCCAGUUUUUAAUUAUUGUUUGUAUUUAUAUUAUAUAGUUGUAAAGAAGAUUCCAUUAAUUAAUAAUGAGUAUUAAUAAUAUUAAUAAUGAAUGAAUGAUCACUAUAUAUAUAUAUGAUAAUAAUGUUCCCGGUCGUCUAUGACUCUAACUAAAACGAUAUUACAUUGAAAUUAUCUUCCUCCAAGGCCAAGGUAAAAAGGUGCACCAGUGUGCUUCAACCAAAGAUAUCCAUUAAUCCAGCGGUCGACUGUGUAUUGAACCGCUUCAAGUGGGUUAAUAAGACGGAAGUUCUUGAAGCUCUUGUUCCUGUUAUUGAUGUUUGCACCGGGUCCGCGGUUGGCAAACUCGUAGUAAUUACAUGUCCGCUCGAAUGAUUCUCCUUGCCAUAUCAUCCAACCUUCUGGGCGGAUGAAAUCACCCAAUUCGCUCUCCAUGAAUACAGUGGUUGCAUAAGGCUUCCAGGGACGCCCCAAGUAUGAUGCCAGCUUGAACCUAUCUGCAAACAAUUCCAUUUCUGGAACGAUUCUGCAGUUCUGGAACACCAAACCACCUGGUUUGUUUGCUAUUUCUUUGCCAUCAGCGGUGAUGGUGUUGAACUGGCUGUCCAAAGGUCUCCUCGCUAUGAUCAAACUGUUUUGGAUUACUGCUGACCCCCUUCCAAAUAUGAAAUCUAUCGUACCAGAGAUGACACAGUUGCGGUAAAAUUGGCGAUGGUUUUGAUAGUACAAGGUGUCUUGAUAACCUUCAAUGCUGCAGUCAAAAACAGCAGCCAUAUCACCGUUAAUUCGAAGAGCCACAGCUUGGUGACCUUGUGGACCAGCAGUGUUGCGGAAGGUAAUUCCCCUUGCAACGAACCCAUUGCCAAGAACAGCAAAAGUAGCAGUGUCUUGGGUGGGUAUUUUCAUGAUACCAAAGUUUCUAUGUCCAGUAAUAAUGGUUUUCCCUGCUCCAUCGCCAUAGAUGAAGACGUUUGGUUGCUUCUUGGAGAUGAUGACUUGCUCCUCAUAGAUACCAGCUUUAACAUACACUAUGUAUUUGCCUCUAUGGUUUUUAGGAUAGGCAG
This 1090-nucleotide long non-coding RNA is filed under the name Solanum lycopersicum (tomato). Its description in RNAcentral is "long non-coding RNA (SLYC_LNC000363)". Lineage: Eukaryota; Viridiplantae; Streptophyta; Magnoliopsida; Solanales; Solanaceae. The record is from RNAcentral.